This 1345-nucleotide ribosomal RNA is filed under the name uncultured bacterium. RNAcentral describes it as "16S ribosomal RNA". It matches the Rfam family "Bacterial small subunit ribosomal RNA", at positions 28 to 1378 of the family's 1533-position model. The record is from RNAcentral.
GACGAACGCUGGUUGCGUGCUUAACACAUGCAAGUCGAACGGAAAGGCCCUGCUUUUGUGGGGUGCUCGAGUGGCGAACGGGUGAGCAACACGUGAGUAACCUGCCCUUGACUUUGGGAUAACUUCAGGAAACUGGGGCUAAUACCGGAUAGGAGCUCCUGCUGCAUGGUGGGGGUUGGAAAGUUUCGGCGGUUGGGGAUGGACUCGCGGCUUAUCAGCUUGUUGGUGGGGUAGUGGCUUACCAAGGCUUUGACGGGUAGCCGGCCUGAGAGGGUGACCGGCCACAUUGGGACUGAGAUACGGCCCAGACUCCUACGGGAGGCAGCAGUGGGGAAUAUUGCACAAUGGGCGGAAGCCUGAUGCAGCAACGCCGCGUGCGGGAUGACGGCCUUCGGGUUGUAAACCGCUUUCGCCUGUGACGAAGCGUGAGUGACGGUAAUGGGUAAAGAAGCACCGGCUAACUACGUGCCAGCAGCCGCGGUGAUACGUAGGGUGCGAGCGUUGUCCGGAUUUAUUGGGCGUAAAGGGCUCGUAGGUGGUUGAUCGCGUCGGAAGUGUAAUUCUUGGGGCUUAACCCUGAGCGUGCUUUCGAUACGGGUUGACUUGAGGAAAGUAAGGGGAGAAUGGAAUUCCUGGUGGAGCGGUGGAAUGCGCAGAUAUCAGGAGGAACACCAGUGGCGAAGGCGGUUCUCUGGGCCUUUCCUGACGCUGAGGAGCGAAAGCGUGGGGAGCGAACAGGCUUAGAUACCCUGGUAGUCCACGCUGUAAACGGUGGGUACUAGGUGUGGGGUCCAUUCCACGGGUUCCGUGCCGUAGCUAACGCUUUAAGUACCCCGCCUGGGGAGUACGGCCGCAAGGCUAAAACUCAAAGGAAUUGACGGGGCCCCGCACAAGCGGCGGAGCAUGCGGAUUAAUUCGAUGCAACGCGUAGAACCUUACCUGGGUUUGACAUGGAUCGGGAGUGCCCAGAGAUGGGUGUGCCUCUUUUGGGGUCGGUUCACAGGUGGUGCAUGGCUGUCGUCAGCUCGUGUCGUGAGAUGUUGGGUUAAGUCCCGCAACGAGCGCAACCCUUGUUCACUGUUGCCAGCACGUUAUGGUGGGGACUCAGUGGAGACCGCCGGGGUCAACUCGGAGGAAGGUGGGGAUGACGUCAAGUCAUCAUGCCCCUUAUGUCCAGGGCUUCACGCAUGCUACAAUGGCUGGUACAGAGAGUGGCGAGCCUGUGAGGGUGAGCGAAUCUCGGAAAGCCGGUCUCAGUUCGGAUUGGGGUCUGCAACUCGACCUCAUGAAGUCGGAGUCGCUAGUAAUCGCAGAUCAGCAACGCUGCGGUGAAUACGUUCCCGGG